RNAcentral lists this transfer RNA (62 nucleotides) under Cerophytidae sp. BMNH 900085. RNAcentral describes it as "tRNA-Leu". Lineage: Eukaryota; Metazoa; Arthropoda; Insecta; Coleoptera; Cerophytidae. The record is from RNAcentral.
UUUAAAGUGGCAGAUUAAGUGCAAUGAUUUUAAGAAUCUUAAAUAAUUAAUAUUCUUUAAAA